GAUGAACGCUGGCGGCGUGCUUAACACAUGCAAGUCGAACGAAGCAUUCCAUUUGAAAGUGAACCAGCUUGCUGGGGAACAAUCUCCAGGAAUGACUUAGUGGCGGACGGGUGAGUAACGCGUGGGUAACCUGCCUUAUACAGGGGGAUAACAGUUAGAACUGACUGCUAAUACCGCAUAACCCGAUAGUAGCGCAUGGUACCGUCGGAAAAAAUUUUAUCGGUAUAAGAUGGACCCGCGUCUGAUUAGCUAGUUGGUGGGGUAACGGCCCACCAAGGCGACGAUCAGUAGCCGACUUGAGAGAGUGAUCGGCCACAUUGGGACUGAGACACGGCCCAAACUCCUACGGGAGGCAGCAGUGGGGAAUAUUGCACAAUGGGCGCAAGCCUGAUGCAGCGACGCCGCGUGAGCGAUGAAGUAUUUCGGUAUGUAAAGCUCUAUCAGCAGGGAAGAUAAUGACGGUACCUGACUAAGAAGCACCGGCUAAAUACGUGCCAGCCGCCGCUGUAA
RNAcentral lists this ribosomal RNA (510 nucleotides) under uncultured bacterium. Its description in RNAcentral is "partial 16S ribosomal RNA". It matches the Rfam family "Bacterial small subunit ribosomal RNA", at positions 28 to 523 of the family's 1533-position model. The record is from RNAcentral.